This 62-nucleotide transfer RNA is filed under the name Cherax robustus. RNAcentral's name for it is "tRNA-Phe". The record is from RNAcentral. Lineage: Eukaryota; Metazoa; Arthropoda; Malacostraca; Decapoda; Parastacidae.
CUUAUAUAUUUCAAAUAGAAUAUUGCAUUGAAGCUGCAAUGGUGGUGGUUGCCUGUAAGUAU